GGGGAUUUAGCUCAGUGGUAGAGCGCUUGCCUAGCAAGUGCAAGACUCUGGGUCCAGUCCUCA
Rattus norvegicus (Norway rat) is the source of this 63-nucleotide non-coding RNA. The record is from Rfam. Lineage: Eukaryota; Metazoa; Chordata; Mammalia; Rodentia; Muridae.